RNAcentral lists this unclassified non-coding RNA (378 nucleotides) under plant metagenome. RNAcentral describes it as "partial contains 5.8S ribosomal RNA, internal transcribed spacer 2, and large subunit ribosomal RNA". The stretch from base 1 to 105 matches the Rfam family "5.8S ribosomal RNA", at positions 50 to 154 of the family's 154-position model. The record is from RNAcentral.
GAAAUGCGAUAAGUAAUGUGAAUUGCAGAAUUCAGUGAAUCAUCGAAUCUUUGAACGCACCUUGCGCUCCUUGGUAUUCCUUGGAGCAUGCCUGUUUGAGUAUCAUGAAAUCUUCAAAGUAAAUCUUUUGUUAACUCAAUUGGUUUCUACUUUGGUAUUGGAGGUCUUUGCAGCUUCACACCUGCUCCUCUUUGUUCAUUAGCUGGAUCUCAGUGUUAUGCUUGGUUCCACUCGGCGUGAUAAGUUAUCUAUCGCUGAGGACACUGUAAAAGGUGGCCAAGGUAAAUGCAGAUGAACCGCUUCUAAUAGUCCAUUGACUUGGACAAUACUUUUAUGAUCUGAUCUCAAAUCAGGAAGGACUACCCGCUGAACUUAAGC